Long non-coding RNA from Pieris napi, 712 nucleotides. RefSeq lists it as uncharacterized. Lineage: Eukaryota; Metazoa; Arthropoda; Insecta; Lepidoptera; Pieridae. The record is from RefSeq and is a predicted model, not a curated record. The transcript is spliced from 5 exons.
GAUAUUUUCGCUUGUAAUGUCAUCGUAUACACACGUAAUUAGAAUUCUGUAGAAAAGAUCCUUCAAAUAAAUUUAACCAGUGAGAAUUAUUUGUAACUAUCCUGCGUCUCCAAGAUAACAGCAUUAACUUUGUGCGAGUAAGCUACGAAGGCGUACCAGUUCAUCAGUCUUAAGACUACUUGUAUUACGAGGAAUCAAAUGUGCUACAGUGGAAAAUGUUGCUGUUGCGAAUUGGAGACCGGAUCAUUAAUAUGGGCGAUUUUGCAACUUGUCGCGUUGGGAUUGAGCACUUUAGCCAUUAUUAUCGUUUUAAUUAAAAUAAAUACCAUGAUAGGAGAUAUGGAACUGGUCCAUAAUAUCAGUAUGGCACUCUUAGUUUGCCUGGCUAUUGUCGGAUUAAAAAUAAUGUUCUCCUUGUUUUUACUCUUCGGUGUAAUAUGUAAAAAUUCGGGCUUGGUACUAGCAUACGUGAUUGUUUACAUUAUUGAAACAAUACUGAAGGCUCUUGUUAUUAUAGUUUUGGCUUUCUUUUUGAAUGUAUGGUGCAUUGCAUUGUAUCUUGUAACUGUUUUCGACAUUCUCAUAGUUGUUAUGGUGACACAAACGCAUGCGAAAAUUAGGAAUUAUAACAACGGUAACCACGGAUUCCCAUGGAAUUAUUGACAUAAAAAAAACUAUGUUUAGUUUUAGUGCAAUAAAUUAUCAUUAAAAA